UAAGGAAUAUUGGUCAAUGGACGCAAGUCUGAACCAGCCAUGCCGCGUGGAGGAUGAAGGCCCUCUGGGUUGUAAACUUCUUUUCUUUGGGACGAAACCCCUGUUUCUACGGGGACUGACGGUACCAGAGGAAUAAGCACCGGCUAACUCCGUGCCAGCAGCCGCGGUAAUACGGAGGGUGCAAGCGUUAUCCGGAUUCACUGGGUUUAAAGGGAGCGUAGGUGGGCUUUUAAGUCAGUGGUGAAAUCUUUGGGCUUAACCCGAAAACUGCCAUUGAUACUAUUAGUCUUGAAUUCUCUGGAGGUAAGCGGAAUAUGUCAUGUAGCGGUGAAAUGCUUAGAUAUGACAUAGAACACCCAUUGCGAAGGCAGCUUACUACGGAGACAUUGACACUGAGGCUCGAAAGCGUGGGGAUCAAACA
Molecule: ribosomal RNA, 421 nt
Filed under: uncultured Lacibacter sp.
Lineage: Bacteria; Pseudomonadati; Bacteroidota; Chitinophagia; Chitinophagales; Chitinophagaceae
Also listed under: 1 other name
Description: bacterial SSU rRNA
Rfam family: Bacterial small subunit ribosomal RNA
Source: RNAcentral